Molecule: ribosomal RNA, 188 nt
Filed under: uncultured Staphylococcus sp.
Lineage: Bacteria; Bacillati; Bacillota; Bacilli; Caryophanales; Staphylococcaceae
Description: partial 16S ribosomal RNA
Rfam family: Bacterial small subunit ribosomal RNA
Source: RNAcentral
GGAAACAGGAGCUAAUACCGGAUAAUAUUUUGAACCGCAUGGUUCAAAAGUGAAAGACGGUCUUGCUGUCACUUAUAGAUGGAUCAGCGCUGCAUUAGCUAGUUGGUAAGGUAACGGCUUACCAAGGCAACGAUGCAUAGCCGACCUGAGAGGGUGAUCGGCCACACUGGAACUGAGACACGGUCCAG